Molecule: transfer RNA, 74 nt
Filed under: Staphylococcus aureus
Lineage: Bacteria; Bacillati; Bacillota; Bacilli; Caryophanales; Staphylococcaceae
Description: tRNA-Met
Rfam family: tRNA
About the family: Transfer RNA (tRNA) molecules are approximately 80 nucleotides in length. Their secondary structure includes four short double-helical elements and three loops (D, anti-codon, and T loops).
Source: RNAcentral
GGACCUUUAGCUCAGUUGGUUAGGGCUAACGGCUCAUAACCGUUCGGUCGCAGGUUCGAGUCCUGCAAGGUCCA